This 496-nucleotide ribosomal RNA is filed under the name uncultured bacterium. RNAcentral describes it as "partial 16S ribosomal RNA". It matches the Rfam family "Bacterial small subunit ribosomal RNA", at positions 28 to 506 of the family's 1533-position model. The record is from RNAcentral.
GAUGAACGCUGGCGGCGUGCCUAAUACAUGCAAGUCGAGCGAACGGACGAGAAGCUUGCUUUUCUGAUGUUAGCGGCGGACGGGUGAGUAACACGUGGAUAACCUACCUAUAAGACUGGGAUAACUUCGGGAAACCGGAGCUAAUACCGGAUAAUAUUUUGAACCGCAUGGUUCAAAAGUGAAAGACGGUCUUGCUGUCACUUAUAGAUGGAUCCGCGCUGCAUUAGCUAGUUGGUAAGGUAACGGCUUACCAAGGCAACGAUGCAUAGCCGACCUGAGAGGGUGAUCGGCCACCCUGGAACUGAGACACGGUCCAGACUCCUACGGGAGGCAGCAGUAGGGAAUCUUCCGCAAUGGGCGAAAGCCUGACGGAGCAACGCCGCGUGAGUGAUGAAGGUCUUCGGAUCGUAAAACUCUGUUAUUAGGGAAGAACAUAUGUGUAAGUAACUGUGCACAUCUUGACGGUACCUAAUCAGAAAGCCACGGCUAACUACGU